GUGGGUGUAGCUCAACCUGGUCAGAGCACAUGCCUGUGGAGCAUGAGGCUGGGGGUUCAACUCCCCUCACCCACCCC
RNAcentral lists this transfer RNA (77 nucleotides) under Microgenomates group bacterium ADurb.Bin238. RNAcentral describes it as "tRNA-His". It matches the Rfam family "tRNA". Rfam says of the family: Transfer RNA (tRNA) molecules are approximately 80 nucleotides in length. Their secondary structure includes four short double-helical elements and three loops (D, anti-codon, and T loops). The record is from RNAcentral.